UGGGGCCAAGGUUCUGAUAACAGCACCAA
This 29-nucleotide non-coding RNA is filed under the name Rattus norvegicus (Norway rat). Lineage: Eukaryota; Metazoa; Chordata; Mammalia; Rodentia; Muridae. The record is from RNAcentral.